This 17177-nucleotide long non-coding RNA is filed under the name Eucalyptus grandis. RNAcentral's name for it is "long non-coding RNA (EGRA_LNC001511)". Lineage: Eukaryota; Viridiplantae; Streptophyta; Magnoliopsida; Myrtales; Myrtaceae. The record is from RNAcentral.
UCCGUCCAGCUAUCUAUCAAUUACAACAGCCCUUUCACCAGCAACUCAUCCCAACAGUCCCGCCAGUCAAAAUGCCAAAUAAAUUCCACUCUCAGAAAAUCAUCAUCCCUCCACUUUCAAUGCAAAACAGAUCCCAGGUGGAUUGGGUUGGGCAUCCCGCAAUGACUCCAGGGCUCUCUACUUGUGAUUGAACCAGGGACCCAUCGCACUGUUGACGUGCCUGUUGCUGUGGUGCAUCCCUACGCCAUUGGGCAUGACGGAAGGGGGAAGCCCCGCCGCCACUUGAGGGGGCGUGGUCGGAUACAACCCGUGAUUGUGCGGCGGUAGCGUGUGGGGACUCAUGAUAGGACUGCUAAGAGGGCUGCCCUUACGUUGUUGCUGAAUGGCGUGGAUCUGCCUAAGCCCUUCUUCAUGAAUGCGCGAGAUCGUCUCCAACUCUGUCAUUGAAAGUGCAUCCAGACCAGCACCGUACAGAGGAGCAUGCCUAGACAUUUCUUCCCGGAGUUGAGUAUCGAGUGAUUGGAUAUAUUCCUGCAAAGAGGAGGUGAAAUCUAAGCAACAAAGAGAAAGCAGGACAACCCAAAUUAAUACUAAAGCAUAUGCUUGAAUGAGUUGUUGGCACAAACCUGGUAGGCUUCCAAUCGUGCUUGCAUACCAUGAAUACGUUCUUCAUAUUCAGCAAUCCGCUCAUCUUUUUUCCGCUUUUCUCCUUCAGUUUGUCCCACUGUUUGUCUCAAUCUUCUAAUCUCGUCCUCAAGGGACUGCCGAAUCUGUUCUCCAGUCACAUUUUCCAUCUCGUACCGCUUCGGCUCUUCAUCAGAUCUUUUCCUCCCAGCUUCCGCACUCUUCAGCCUUUCAGCAAGGGGGUCCUUUUCCUCUGCCACUUUCUGUUCCAUUCACAUAUUUUGGUUGAAAAGACAUCAAUUAGCAUAUUUCCUAAGGCAGGAAAAAAGGAGAUAAAUCCAAUUCAUCCAACUCCACCCUGGUCAUCCAAAGCAAUUUCCCAUGCAAUCUUCUGAAAAAACACUAGCCAAUAGAUAAUAUUUUCCCCUUCUUGGAGAGAUGUAGGCAACACAUAUAAACCAAAACCAAGACCUCUUGAGACUUAGUAAGAGAAGCCAUCACUAAGCCAAAUCCUUACUCCCUCACAUGGGAAAUGCAAUGUUUAGAAAUGCACAAGUUGACAUGAAAAGAAAGCAAAAGAACUUGAUUAAGGAUAAAUAAAGCGACAGAAGCAGUGAAAGACAACCUCCAAUUCUUCACUAUGACGAGUCUUCAGCUGCAAAAUCUCCGACUCUGCAUCAUGAAGACGAUCUUGAAGGGCCUCCUUCUCAGAAGUGAGCUUUGCAAUUUCCUCCGCUCUCUCAGAGCGAAGCUCCUCAAGCUGGUUCUCUAGGUCCUGGACUUGGUCAGAUAAUUCUUUCUUUUCUCGUGCAAAACGAUCCAUCUCAGCCUCCAUCUCAGACUGCCAAUUAUAGAAAGUGUCAAACAAAAACUUGCCACGAAGAAUCGACACACCACGUCAAAGCAAUCGCAUACCUAGGUCAAGAAGUAAAACAAAUUAGUUACCGCGUGGCGUUGGACACGCGAGCACUCCUCGAAGAAGCUGCGAUCAUAAGAAACGGGAAGAGCUAAAUUAAUCCAGCUUUAACUCAUAAAAGCGUAUGAUUUUCACUUAUUCAUUGAAGCUAAAGCAGCGACUUACACUGGCAAAAUGGGAGCAAAAAGUAGAACCACUCAAAAAGCAACCCAAUCUUCGCUUUCUCUCUCUUUUUCACACACACACACACACACAAAUGUCAGAAAAAGCUGAAAAGAACAUGGAACAAUUGCCCAAGACGAAGAAAAACACCAAAACUAGCAGUCUCGAUGAAAACCCAGAAGCCACAAUCUUCACAGAAAGCCAACAGGUCGGUUCAACAGCCCAUUUCGCAGAACAAGAUCUCAUCGCGAGAAAACCCACCGCCCCCAUCCCGGAGGUAACCCAAGAAAAGAAGAGAAAAAGUCCACGCCUUCACGCGUUGACUCGACAAGAAACGCAAUAACACAGGAGGGGAAAACGCGAAAAGAGCGGAGCUCACGAGAUUGGCGUUGUUCCCGCGAGCCCAAUCAACGCGGAACUAGUGCUACCCAGAAGACCCAGAAGGUAAAAAAAACACGACGACUUCGACGAUGGAGAGAUGGAAGAAAUAGAGAGAGAGAGAGAGAGAGAGAGAGAAAAUCAGAACCUGCCACGGCCAAAUUGCAGCGCGGGAUGCGAUCGGUUGGAGAAUCUGUCCUCGGCGCAGGAGCUUUCAAUGCAUCCCCACUUCACUCAUUCCUCUCUCUCUCUCUCUCUCUCUAUAUCUGCGAAUUGUGGCUGUGGAGGGAAUCGGAGGAGAAGAAGAACAACGACGUUGUCCCUGGCUCCGCUGUUCAGUUCAGGCCAAAUGACAAAGGAACAAGAGAGAGAAAUGGAUCUUUCUAAGGCGGUGGUGGGAUGCUGCGGGAUACGUCUCUGCUGACAGUGACAGAUUUUGGCAUGUUGGUCCAAUUUUUUAAAUGAGAACGUGAAGAAGUGUUUCUUUUUCUUAAAAGAGUUAUUAUUAAAAAAAAAUCAUGAAUUGAUAAAUUUAUGAUAAAUUUACUUUACAUAAAUUUUCGUCAAAUGUGAUGGUUGACAAAUUUAUCGAUUUGAGAUUUCACCUUGGUUUGUUAGUUUAUGAUUUUCUGUGAUAUUUAUUGAACUUAAUGAAUACUAAUGGUAUGUGAGGUAGUGGGAGGAAAGAAGUACGGAAAAGAAAAAUGAAAUAAAUUUGAGACCGGGGUUUGGGGUGGAUCCUGAGAGGAUUUUUUUCUAUCAGAAAAAUAAAUAAAUGAGAUAAAAAAUAAUUUCGAAAGAUAAAAGUAUCAAAUAUUGAAUAAUGAUAAAUUUCCGUCAUUAUAUAAGAUUAUGACUUAUUUAAAUAAAUUUAUUCUAAUUUUUCAUUAAUCAUUAAUUUUAUCAAUAAUUUUUAUUAAAGUUAAAAACAUGUCUUCAAAAAUAGAUAUGCAUUAAUAUGAAUAUGUCUUUCGAAUUUUCAAUAAAUAGAUUUAUUAAUAAUAUUAUUAUAAAUUCAUUGAAGAUUCUUUUUAUUAUUUAUUUUUUUGUAAAUUUGAAUCAAAUUAAUUAAAAAUAAGAAUAUUUAUUUAAUAUACAACGUGUCUUAAAGUGUCGGAUUCUUUAUUUUUUAGAAAUGAUUUGUCGACGUAUCGUAUCGUGUCGUGUCGUGUCGUAUAUUCGCAUCGCGUGUUCGUGUCGUCAAUGCUAUAAUGUAAUUGAACCUUCGGCCACAUCCAUUCCUCCUGCCAGAUUUUUUCGAAAUGGACAAAUCCUGAUUUCCAUGCCUUCGGCCACAUUCAUCGAACCUACCCUUUGAUUGCAACGUCGGAUCAUGCCGACUAGACGCGUGAUUAGGAAUUUCAAGAAAUUGGUCAUGCUGAACGUAACUUCCUUACGGCAUAUCCCAAUGCAAAUCUUUCAAAUACAGGUAUUAAUGAAUUGGGAUGAGAAUUUUUGAACGUUAAUUUAAUGUGCAAUAUUGUUCUUAAAUGCUUAAUUUGUUCAAUGUUGUUUAUGAACUAUUCAUAAAUGUUGGAUGUUUUCCUUCAUCUUACUCAAAUGACAAAUCGGACUUCUCUAGAUGGAAUGGAUUAUUAUGAAGAUGAAUUAAUAUGUCUAUCCUUGUAUCCAUCUACUUUAAAAAAAGAGAAAUAAAAUUAUAGCGUUGAUAUACCCAUCUUUAUUUGGUGACGUGAAUUAUUAUAUCUUGAUUUCAGGUAAAUAUUUUACGUGGGUAGUUUAGGUGUAGUUUUUUUUUUUUUUUAAUUUGAGCCAUAUCAACAUAUUUUAUUAACUUGAAUUAACAGAAAUAACAAUAUUUAACAAUUUUAUAUAAUUUAUGGGCUAUAUUAAUUAUUUGCCAAUUGUUGAUAGAUCAUAUUAACGAAUUAAAAAAAUUUAGUCCAAAACUUAGGAAUCAUUUGUGUCAUUUUCCCUAAUAAAUUUAAAGGAUAGGUUCACUAAAAAUCCUAAAAUUGGUCACAAAGGUACAAUUGAGUCCUAAAAUUUAUAAAAAGUACAGCUAAGUACUAAAACUUAUCAAAUUAGUUCAAUCAAAAUCUUUCAUUAAUUCCGUCCAAUCUAACUAAUGAAAAAUGCCAACGUGGCGAUGAUGUGGCUUUUUCUAAAAGUACUUUAAUACAAAUUUAAUUUAAAUAAUUUAAAAAAAAACUAAUUUAAAAAGGUCAAAGUCUGGUAUAAUAAUCAAACGGCAUUAACCCACAAAAUACAAUCUCCCGAGCACCAGAGCGGCCGAAAUUAUCUUCAAUGUUGAAAAGGGCAACUAGGAGAAAUCGGACAAUGAUGUCGUAAGAGUAAAGUCUUUUCACGAGCUUGAUAAGGUCAACGUCCAACAUGUCCGAAGGAAAACUUUGCAGUUCAAUGGAUGAGAGAGAUUAGGAUCUUUCCGAGUACUUGACUCGAUGAAAGACGCAUGAGAUCAGGCUACAAUUGUCACAUGAUGUGUUAUUUCGGAAAGAACGAAUGAUUCGAUUUAAUUUCAUAGAUUGUGAGCAUCGCAAUGUAAUUUUCUCCACAAAGUCUCUUGAGAAAGUUAAAUCAAAUGGAGGGUAAUUAGCAUAUGAUAUCUUAGCUCUAUCGUAAAAGCAAUUCAUGUUGCUCCAACGAGAAUGAACUACGCCUUAAUUGUUUGAAAAGUCAUAAAGCUAUAUUUGGAAGUUAAUUCAAUUUUAAGUUAUUAAAUUGUGCCAAUUUAGUCAUAAACAUUUAGACAGUUUAUCAAUUUAGUCAUUUUGAUCAAUUUUGACUAGAACUCACUAAGGUCAUUCUAUGUGGCACUUGCACUAAUAUGAAUAAUUUUUUUUGUUUGUUCAUUUCUUCUUCAUCGGUCAAGAAGAGGAAAAUUUCAAAAUAAAAUAAAAUAAAAAAUUUACUCAUGCCAAUUUACCACGUAUGAUGGAUGGUUUCUACAAUAGCAAUUUUCGACCAAUAUUGCCUAGAAUGACAAUAUUAACAAUUCGUGAAAAUAUUUAUAAUUAAAUUGGUAUAAUUGAAAAUGUUAUAAUCGAACUGACUGUUAUAUAAUAGAUUUAUGAUUUUUUAGAUAAUUUUUCCAAUUAACGACAAUUGUGCAUCUCAAGAGUUGACAUUGUCAACGGCCGAAUACUUCGGGGGCAAAUCAUGUGAAUGGGAGCUCUGUGUAAAGUUGCUAGUCAAGUUCUCUACUGUCUUACGUGUUGUAUGAAUUUCAAGAUGAGAAGAUUUGAAGAUGAUGAUGAUGAUGAUGCUUAUGGAUAGAUUCGGUGGGGUCUGAAAUUUUCAAUUGCUUAGUUACCACACACAAGCGGGUAUUAUCCACUUAGAAAAAGCGUGUGACAAAGUUUCUUGCCUUGUACCCGACGUGAUAAUAAUGGAUGAGGCAAGAACCGUGACGUGGCACGUCAUUGUCUAGCUCAGCUGACUCGUUCUUCCACAGUGGACUUUUUGCAAUCAUCAAUACCUAAUCUGGAUUCUGAGGCCUAAACCAUAAGCAGUUGUCUUCCUCAGAUUUCAGCAUGAUCCACACGUUGUUUCUAAUCUGAUUUGACAUUUUGGGAUUUCUAUCGUAGAUUCGUUAAAAGGCCCGUGUUUUAUUCAAGGCCCAGCAGUUGCGGCCUCGACUCAACCGGGGCACCUCUCGUGGAUCUCUUUUUUUGGCCCAUCGUUUCUAGAAGCAGACCAGCAAUUCUUGUUACCUUGGUUCAUAUCAACUUCUGAUAUCUCCAUGUUGUCUAAAUAAGCCGGCGUUAGCUUCUAAUAAGUCACGGCGCGUUCGAGAGUUUUGAGCCAUGCUCGAGUCUUGUGGUGUCGUGUGGUGUCACCCGUGCUAAACAGAGUCGUGUGGUGUCACCCGUGCUAAACAGCUCGAAAGCAUUAGUAUUUACAAGAAAGAAAAGUUCAGACUCUUAUCAAGGUUAAGAGCUGGCAGUUUUGAGAAACUGGGUAUCUGCUCCACAAAUCACUUCUUCUUCUUCAGAGAGAGAGAGAGAGAAUAUGAGACACUUUUGCAAAAUUUGUCGGAACCUAUAAUUGAUCAUAUGAAGAAAUAUUUAAAAAGGCAGGCAUGGCAUUUUAACCGUCAGUCCCACAGGACUAGAUACCAAAUCUAAUCCCCCCCUUCUCCGUCCAGCUAUCUAUCAGUCACAACAGCCCUUUCACCAGCAACUCAUCCCAACAGUCCCGCCAGUCAAAAUGCCAAAUAAAUUCCAGUCUCAGAAAAUCAUCAUCACUCCACUUUCAAUGCAAAACAGAUCCCAGGUGGAUAGGGUAGGGCAUCCCGCAAUGACUCCAGGGCUCUCUACUUGUGAUUGAACCAGGGACCCAUCGCACCGUUGACGUGCCUGUUGCUGUGGUGCAUCCCUAUGCCAUUGGGCAUGACGGAAGGGGGAAGCCCCGCCGCCACUGGAGGGGGCACAGUCGGAUACAACCCCUGAUCGUGCGGCGGUAGCGUGUGGGGACUCACAAUAGGACUGCUAAGAGGGCUGCCCUUACGUUGUUGCUGAAUGGCGUGGAUCUGCCUAAGCCCCACUUCAUGAAUGCACGAGAUCGUCUCCAACUCUUUCAUUGAAAGUGCAUCCAGAUCAGCACCGUACAGAGGAGCAUGCCUAGACAUUUCUUCCCCGAGUUGAGUAACGAGUGAUUGGAUGCAUUCCUGCAAAGAGGAGGUGAAAUCUACGCAACAAAGAGAAAGCAGGACAAUCCAAAUUAAUACUAAAGCAUAUGCUUGAAUGAGAGUAGUUGGCACAAACCUGGUAGGCCUCCAAUCGUGCUUGCAUACUAUGAAUACGUUCUUCAUAUUCAGCAAUCCGCUCCUCCUUUUCCCGCUUUUCUCCUUCAGUUUGUCCCACUGUUUGUCUCAAUCUUCUAAUCUCGUCCUCAAGGGACUGCCGAAUCUCUUCUCGGGUAAUAUUUUCCGUCGCGUACCGCUUCGGCUCUUCAUCAGAUCUUUUCCUCCCAGCUUCCGCACUCUUCAGCUGCAAAAUCUGCGACUCUGCAUCACGAAGACGAUCUUGAAGGGCCUUCUUCUCAGAAGUGAGCUUUGCAAUUUCCUCCGCUCUCUCAGAGCGAAGCCCCUCAAGCUGGUUCUCUAGGUCCCGGACUUGUUCAGAUAAUUUUUUCCUUUCUGGUGCAACACGAUCCAUCUCGGCCUUCAUCUCAGACCGCCAAUUACAAGCAGUGUCAAACAAAAACUUGCCUCGAAGAAUCGACACACCACGUUAAGGCAAUCGCGUACCUUGGUCAAGAAGUAAAGCAAAAUAGUUAGCCUUAAGACGGGGUUGUUCGUCGCCUCAGAUUCUCACUCAGUUCCUGUGAUUACCGCAGCUUUUUCUCUAACCCUACCGGAGAUCUCGGCUUUCCUCUCUUCACGCAGGCGUGUGUGAUUUCUUCUUCCCUUGGACAAAAGCUUAGUGCCGAAGUUUUGUUCGCUGCCUCGUUUGGGACACGCGUUCGGACACGCAGUCGGACAGGUGGAAGAUUGAAGCGAGGAAAAGAAAAGUGAACUAAAUUUGAGGGACCGGGGUUUGGGAGUGGACCGUGAGAGGACUUUUUCAAUCAGAAAAAUAAAUAAAUGAGGUUAACAAAAGUGAUUUCGAAAAAUAAUAGUAUUGAAUUUUGAACAAUGAUAAAUUUUGGUCAUUGCAUAAUAUCAUAGACUUAUUUAAAUAAGUUUAUUCUAAUUUUUUAUAGGCAAUAAUAUUAUCAAUAACUUUGUUAAAGUUUAAAACAUGUCUUCAGAUAUGAAUACGCAUUAAUUAUGAAUAUGUCUUUCAAAUUUUCAAUAAAUAGAUUUAUUAAUAAUAUUAUUAUAAAUUCAUUGUAGAUUCUUUCUAUUAUUUAUUUUUUUGUGAAUUUGAAUAAAAUCAAUUAAAAAUAAGAAUAUUUAUUUAAUAGAUAACGUGUCAGAUUCUUUAUUUUUAAGAAAUAAUGUAUCAACGUGUCAUGUCGUGUUGUAUAUUUGCGUCGUGUGUUCAUGUCGCAUGUUGCAUGUCAAUGCUAUAUCGUUCUUAAAUGCUUAAUUUGGUCAAUGUUGUUUAUGAACUAUUCAUAAAUGUUGGAUGUUUUCCUUCAUCUUACUCAAAUGACAAACCGGACUUCACUGGAUGAAAUGGAUUAUUAUAAAGAUGCGCUAAUAUGUCUAUCCUUGUAUCCAUCUACUUUGAAAAAAGAGAAAUAAAAUUAUAGCAUUAAUGUAUCCAUCUUUAUUUGGUGACUCGGAUUAUUAUAUCUUGAUUUCAGGUAAAUAUUUUACGUGGGUACUUCAGGUGUAGUUUUUUAUUAUUAUAAUUUUUAUCCACCAUUCCAAAUUAACGGAUUAGGGCUUGUUUGUUAAUGUUCUUUGUUUUUGUUUAUAAACAAAAUUUCUGUUUUUUUGUUCUAGGGAACAAAAAAAGAACAGAAUCGUAUUUGUUUGUGCUUUUGUUCCAAAUCUAUUCUUUUGUUCCUAGGAACAUAUUUGGAACAGAAACAAAAAACAAGAAAAACGUGUUUCUUGUUUCUGAAACAAUUUUUAAGAACAAAAUUUCUCUCUCUUCUCUUUUUCUUCUCUCUUUUUUUUUCUUCUUUAUUUUUCUUUUUUCUUUAGCUGGUCGACGGCCUCGGCCAUGGCUGGCAAUCGGCUGUUGAGGGCUGGCGACCUUGUUGGAGCGUCGCCGCCCCCUGGCGAGGCCCAGCGUUGCCGGCCCCCGAUAAGGCUGAGCGUCACCGACCCCUGGCAAGGCUCGGCCUUGCUGGCGUGGGGCAAAGCUGGGCGAGCUCGGACUUGCCCAAAUCCGGCGAGUCCAAGCUUGCCUAGCCAAGGCGAGGUCGAGCCUCGCCCAACCACAAUGAGGCCUCGACCUCACUGGGGGCCGGUGAGCCUCGCCAUGGCUGGGUGAGGCCGUCGACCAUGGCCGAGGUCAGCAACCGGCCAAAAGAAGAAAAAAAGAAAAAAGAAAAAAGAAAGAAAAAUAAAAUAAAAAUAUUAAAAAAUUAAAAGAAACAAAAAAAAAAAAACACAAUUUUACCAAGCGUGUUUCUAUUCAAUUUUUAUUCUCGGAACAAGUUUACCAAACACGUUUUUUUGUUAAAAAAUUGUUCUCCAUAACAGAAACACUUUUUUCUAUUAGUCAUUUUGACCAAUUUUAACUAGAAAAGGUUGUUCUAUGUGGCGCUAGCACUAAUAUAAAUAAUUUUUUCAUUUUUUCCUCAUCGGUCAAGAAGAGGAAAAUUUCAAAAAUAAUAAUAAUAAUAAUAAAAUUUACUCAUGUCAACUUAUUAUGUAUGAUGGCUGGUUUCUACAAUAGCAAUUUCUGACCAAUAUUGCCCAAGAGGACUAUAUUAACAAUUCGUGAAAAUAUUUAUGAUUAAAUUGGUAUAAUUGAAAUGUUUAAAAUCGAAUUGAUUGUCAUAUAAUAUAUUUAGGAUUUUUUAGACAAUUUUUCCAUUCAACGACAAUUGUGCAUCUCAAGAAUCGGCAUAGUCAACGUCUGAAUACUUUGGGGGCAAAUCAUGUGAAUGGGAGCUCCGUGUAAAGUUGCUAGUCAAGUUCUCUGCUAUCUUUCGUGUUGUAUGAAUUUCAAGAUGAGAAGAUUUGAAGAUGAUGAGGACGAUGCUUAUGGAUAGAUUAGGUGCGGUCUGAAAUUUUCAAUUGCUUAGUUACCACACACAAGCGGGUAUUAUCCACUUAGAAAAAGCAUGUGACGGAGUUUCUUGCCUUGUACCCGACGUGAUAAUAGUGGAUGAGGCAAGAACCGUGACGUGGCACGUCAUUGUUCAGCUCAGCUGACUCGUUCUUCCACAGUGGACUUUUUGCAAUCAUCAAUACCUAAUAUGGAUCCUGAGGCCUAAACCAUAAGCCGCUAUUUUCCUCAGAUUUCAGCAUGAUCCACACGUUGUUUCUAAUCUGAUUUGACAUUUUGGGAUUUCUAUCGUAGAUUCGUUAAAAGGCCCGUGUUUUAUUCAAGGCCCAGCAGUUGCGGCCUCAACUCAACCGGGGCACCUCUCGUGGAUCUCUUUUUUUGGCCCAUCGUUUCUAGAAGCAGACCAGCAAUUCUUGUUACCAUGGUUCAUAUCAAUUUAUGAUAUCUCCAUGUUGUCUCAAUAAGCCGGCGUUAGCUUCUAAUAAGCCACGGCCCGUUCGAGAGUUUUGAGCGAUGCUCGAGUCGUGUGGUGUCACCUGUGCUAAACACCUCGAAAGCAUUAGUAUUUAUAAGAAAGAAAAGUUCAGACUCUUAUCAAGGUUAACAGCUGACAGUCUUAAGAAACUGAGAUUGCACAUGACAAAAUUUCUGAAACAUAAAUUGAUUUCUGACUAGAAAUCAAUUUCUUAAUUUCUAUUCCAUGGACAAGUUUCUAAGCAAAGAAACCCAUUUGAUAACAACUCAAAAUUUCUAUUUCUCAAACAUAAAUCCGUUUAAUAGCAGAACAAAAUUUAUAUUUCUAGGAAUAGAAAUCGAUUAGAUAACAACAUAGGAAAUCCUCAAAUACAAAAUAAUAGUCGAAAUAAUACUAAAACAAUAUAGGAAAUCCUCAAAUACAAAAUAAUAGUCGAAAUAAUACUAAUACUUUACAAAAGUUGAAAUACAAUUUCAUGGAAUUUCCGGCAUAGUAUUAUCCAUCGUCAUUUUAUUAGCAAUUGAUUUCCUAAGCAUAUUUAUUGGGUUUCCCUCAUCGGUCAAUGUAUCGUUUGCAAGUUCAUCUUGCGUAGGAUCAGACAAGUACUGCGGAAGCAUGAAUAUGGGUACUAUCAAUGGCGCCUAUACAGCAUUGUCAUUUUAUCAAAAAGUAUUAUACAAGAUUAUCAACAAAAUAAAAUUAAUUGUGUAAGGAAUAUAUGAGAAUUCUACCUUAAAGUAACGUUUAUGGUUAGGAACCAAUCGGGGGAAGGUUGGUUUAUUUUGAUUCUCGAAUUGAAUCAGUUCAGUUGCUCAUCCCUAAUUUCUUUAUUGUUGCUCAAUGAACCUUUAAUGGCCCUUCCAUAGCAAAGAGAGAGAUUCUCUUGAAUCUCUUGCCUUCGAAUUAAAAUUCAAAAUUGUGUAACAAUUUAAUUAUUUUGAUUUUGCAAGAAUUUUGAAUCCGUAAAAAAAUAAGGUUAAAUUUCUAGGUACGUUUUUUAUCCAUCUAUCACGUAAGCAUUUUUUCUUCAAUUGGUCAUGUGCGUGCCUUUUCUAGGAGGAAAUAAUCCUAUUGUUUUUAAAUAAGCUUUUAAGAACUUUGGUCGCUUUUUGAAAAUUGGGUACCCAUUCGAUUGCUUUUCAUCCUAAAGAGAAAGUUAUAAAAAAAAAUUUGAAAAAAAAAACACGAGCAAAAUAAGAAAAAGAAAAUUAACAAUAAUUUGUGAAGUUGUGGUUAUGAGUGAAUUAAGUUAGCAAGAAAGCGCAAAGUUCUUUCAUAUGGUUUGAUUUCAGUUUCUGAUUUCUAUUUCAGAAACUGAGAAAUUAAAAAUUUAAGCUUCUGAUUUCUUCAAUUUCUCUAUUUCUGGAAUAGAAAUCUAUUUCAAUAACAGAGAAAUCAAAUUACGUUACCAAAUGGAUUUCUGUUCCAAACUUGUUCCCGAGAACAGAGAAACAGAGAAAUCGAGAAACAGAAAUUUUGUUAUGGGCGCCCUGAGUAUCUGCUCCACAAAUCACUUCUUCUUCUUUAGAGAGAGAAAGUGAGAGAAUAUGAGACACUUUUGCAAAAUUUGUCGGAACCUAUAAUUGAUCAUAUGAAGAAAUAUUUAAAAAAAGCACUGUUACUCCCAUUGGACUAGACACCAAUCUAAUCCCCCCCCUUCUCCGUCCAGCUAUCUAUCAGUCACAGCAGCCCUUUCACCAGCAACUCAUCCCAACAGUCCCGCCAGUCAAAAUGCCAAAUAAAUUCCAGUCUCAGAAAAUCAUCAUCCCUCCACUUUCAAUGCAAAACAGAUCCCAGGUGGAUAGGGUAGGGCAUCCCGCAAUGACUCCAGGGCUCUACUGGUGACUGAACCAGGGAGCCAUUGCACCGUUGACGUGCCUGUUGCUGUGGUGCAUCCCUAUGCCAUUGGGCAUGACGGAAGGGGGAAGCCCCACCGCCACUUGAGGGGGCGCGUUCGGAUACAACCCGUGAUUGUGCGGCGGUAGCUUGUGGGGACUCAUGAUAGGACUGCUAAGAGGGCUGCCCUUACGUUGUUGCUGAAUGGCGUGGAUCUGCCUAAGCCCUUCUUCAUGAAUGCGCGAGAUCGUCUCCAACUCUGUCAUUGAAAGUGCAUCCAGACCAGCACCGUACAGAGGAGCAUGCCUAGACAUUUCUUCCCGGAGUUGAGUAUCGAGUGAUUGGAUAUAUUCCUGCAAAGAGGAGGUGAAAUCUAAGCAACAAAGAGAAAGCAGGACAACCCAAAUUAAUACUAAAGCAUAUGCUUGAAUGAGUUGUUGGCACAAACCUGGUAGGCUUCCAAUCGUGCUUGCAUACCAUGAAUACGUUCUUCAUAUUCAGCAAUCCGCUCAUCUUUUUUCCGCUUUUCUCCUUCAGUUUGUCCCACUGUUUGUCUCAAUCUUCUAAUCUCGUCCUCAAGGGACUGCCGAAUCUCUUCUCUGGUCACAUUUUCCGUCGCAUACCGCUUCAGCUCUUCAUCAAAUCUUUUCCUCCCAGCUUCCGCACUCUUCAGCCUUUCAGCAAGGUCGUCCUUUUCCUUUACCACUUUCUGUUCCAUUCACAUAUUUUGGUUGAAAAGACAUCAAUUAGCAUAUUCCCUAAGGCAAGAAAAAAGGGGAUAAAUCCAGUUCAUCCAACUCCACCCUGGUCAUCCAAAGCAAUUCCCCAUGCAAUCUUCUGAAAAAACACUAGCCAAUAGAUAAUCUUUUCCCCCUCUUGAAGAGAUAGGCAACACAAAUAAACCAAAACCAAGACCUCUUGAUUAAGGAUAAAUUAAGCGACAGAAGCAGUGACAGCUAACCUCCAAUUUACGAGUCUUCUGCAAAAUCUGCGACUCCGCAUCACUAAGACGAUCUUCAAGGGUCUUCUUCUCAGAAGUGAGCUUUGCAAUUUCCUCCGCUUUCUCAGAGCGAAGCCCCUCAAGCUGGUUCUCUAGGUCCCGGACUUGUUCAGAUAAUUUUUUCCUUUCUGGUGCAACACGAUCCAUCUCGGCCUUCAUCUCAGACCGCCAAUUACAGAGAGUGUCAAACAAAAACUUGCCAUUGAAGAAUCGACACACCACGUUAAGGCAAUCGCGUACCUUGGUCAAGAAGUAAAAGCAAAAUAGUUACCUCAAGACGGUGUUGCUCGUCGCCUCAGAUUCUCACUCAGUUUCUGUGAUUGCCGGCAGCUUUUUCUCUAACCCUACUGGAGAUCUCGGCUUUCCUCUCUUCACGCAGGCGUGUGAUUUCUUCCUCUCUUGGACAAAAGCUUAGUGCCGAAGUUUUGUUCGCUGCCUUUGGGACACGCGUUCGGACACGAGUCGGACAGGUGGAGGAAUGAAGGAGGAAAAUAAAAGUGAAAUAAAUUUGAGGGACCGGGGUUUGGGAGUGGACCGCAAGAGGACUUUUUUAAUCAGAAAAUUAAAUAAAUGAGGUUUAAAAGUGAUUUCGAAAAAUAAAAAUAUUGAAUGUUGAACGAUGAUAAAUUUUAGUCAUUGUAUAAGAUCAUAGACUUAUUUAAAUAAGUUUAUUCUAAUUUUUUAUUAGUCAAUAAUUUCAUCAAUAACUUUGUUAAAGUUAAAACAUGUCUUCAAAUAUGAAUACGUAUUAAUUAUGAGUAUGUCUUUCAAAUUUUCAAUAAAUAGAUUUAUUAAUAAUAUUAUUAUAAAUUCAUUGUAGAUUCUUUUUAUUAUUUUUUUUUUGUGAAUUUGAAUCAAAUCAAUUAAAAAUAAGAAUAUUUAUUUAAUAGAUAACGUGUCAGAUUAUCUUUAUUUAAUAGAUAACGUGUUAGAUUCUUUAUUUUUGAGAAAUGAUGUGUCAACGUGUCAUGUUGUGUUGUAUAUUUGCGUCGUGUAUUUGUGUCGCAUGUCAGUGCUGUAAUGUAAUUGAACCUUCGGCCACAUCCAUUCCUCCUGCCAAAUUUUUUCGAAAAUCCUGAUUUCCUAUGCCUUCGGCCACAUUCAUUGAAUCUAUCCUUUGAUUGCAACGUCGGAUCAUGCCGAUUAGACACGGGAUUAGGAAUUUCAAGAAACUGGUCAUGCUGAACGUAACUUCCUUACGGCAUAUCCCAACGCAAAUCUUUCAAAUAGAGGUAUUAAUGAAUUGGGAUAAAAAAAUUUGAACGUUAAUUUAAUGUGCAAUAUCGUUCUUAAAUGCUUAAUUUGGUUAAUGUUGUUUAUGAACUAUUCAUAAAUGUUGGAUUUUUUCCUUCAUCUUACUCAAAUGACAAACCGGACUUCACCGGAUGAAAUGGAUUAUUAUAAAGAUGUGUUAAUAUGUCUAUCCUUAUAUCCAUCUACUUUAAAAAAAAAGAGAAACAAAAUUAUAGCAUUAAUGUACCCAUCUUUAUUUGGUGACUUGGAUUAUUAUAUCUUGAUUUCAGGUAAAUAUCUUAUGUGGGUACUUCAGGUGUAGUGUUUUUUUUUAAAAAAAAUUUAUUCACCAUUCCAAAUUAAUAGAUUAAUAGCCAUAUCAGCAUAUUUUAUUAACUUGAAUUAAUGGAAAUAACAAUAUUUAAAAUUUUUAUAUAAUUUAGGGGCUAUAUUAAUUAUUUGCUAAUUGUUGAUGGAUCAUAUUGAACGAACUACAAAAUUUUAAUCCAAAACUUAGGAAUCAUUUAUGUCAUUUUCCCUAAUAAAUUUAAGGGAUAGGUUCACUAAAAAUUCUAAAAUUUGUCACGAAUGUACAAUUGAGUCCUAAAAUUUAUAAAAGGUACAGCCAAGUACUAAAAUUUAUCAAAUUAGUUCAAUCGAGUUCUUCCAUUAAUUCCGUCCAAUCUGACUAAUGAAAAAUGCCAAUGUGGCGAUGAUGUGGCUUUUUCUAAAAGUAUUUUUAUACAAGUUUAAUUUAAAUUAUUUUUUAAAAAAAAAGCUCAUUUAAAAAGGUCAAAGUCUGAUAUAAUAAUCAAACGGCAUUAACCCGCAAAAUACAAUCUCCCGAGCACCAGAGCGGCCGAAAUUAUCUUCAAUGUGAAAGGGGCAACUUGGAGAAAUCGUAAGAGCAAAGUCUUUUCACGAGCUUGAUAAGGUCGAAGUCCAACAUGUCCGAAGGAAAACUUGCAGUUCAAUGGAUGAGAGAGAUCAGGAUCUUUCCAAGUACUUAAGACUCGAUGAAAGACGCAUGAGAUCAGGCUACAAUUGUCACAUGAUGUGUCAUUUCGGAGAGAACCAAUGAUUCGAUUUAAUUUCAUAAAUUAUGAGCAUCGCGAUGUAAUUUUCUCCUAAAAAAGUCUCUUGAGAAAGUUAAAUCAAAUGGAGGGCAAUUAGCAUAUUGUAUCUUAGCUCUAUCGUAAAAGCAAUUCAUGUUGCUCCAACGAGAAUGAACUACGGGUCAAUUGUUUGAAAAGUCAUAAAGCUAUAUUCGGCAAUUAAUUCAAUCUUAAGUCAUUCAAUUAUGUCAAUUUAGUCAUAAACAUUUUGAUGAUUUGUGAAUUUAGUCAUUUUGACAAAUUUUAACUAGAAAUCACUAAGGUUGUCCUAUAUGGCGCUAGCACUGAUAUCAAUAUUUUUUUCAUUUUUUCCUCAUCAGUCAAGAAGAGGAAAAUUUCAAAAAAUAAUAAUAAAAAAUUUACUCAUGUCAACUUACCACGUAUGAUGGCUGGUUUCUACAAUAGCAAUUUCCGACCAAUAUUGCCCGGGAGGACUAUAUUAACAAUUUGUGAAAAUAUUUAUGAUUAAAUUGGUAUAAUUGAAAGGUUUAGAAUCGAACCGACUGUCAUAUAAUAGAUUUAUGAUUUUUUAGAUAAUUUUUCCAAUCAACGACAAUUGUGCAUCUCAAGAGUUGGCAUUGUCAACGCCCGAAUACUUUGGGGGCAAAUCAUGUGAAUGGGAGCCCUGUGUAAAGUUGCUAGUCAAGUUCUCUGCUUUGAAGAUGAUGAUGAUGAUGCUUAUGGAUAGAUUAGGUGGGGUCUGAAAUUUUCAAUUGCUUAGUUACCACACACAAGCGGUAUUAUCCAGUUAGAAAAAGCGUGUGACAAAGUUUCUUGCCUUGUACCCGAUGUGAUAAUAAUGGAUGAGGCAAGAACCGUGACGUGGCACGUCAUUGUCCAGCUCAGCUGACUCGUUCUUCCACAGUGGACUUUUCGCAAUCAUCAAUACCUAAUCUGGAUUCUGAGGCUUAAACCAUAAGCAGCUAUUUUCCUCAGAUUUCAGCAUGAUCCACACGUUUUUUCUAAUCUGAUUUGACAUUUUAGGAUUUCUAUCGUAAAUUCGUUAAAAGGCCCAUGUUUAAUUCAAGGCCCAGCAGUUGCAGCCUCAACUCAACCCGGGGCAACCCUCUUGAAUCUCAAUCUUUUGCCCAUCGUUUCUGGAAGCAGACCAGCAAUUCUUGUUACCAUAGUUAAUAUCAAUUUCUGAUAUUUCCACGUUGUCUCAAUAAGCCGGUGUUGGUUUCUAAUAAGCCGGCGUUAGUUUCUAAUAAGCCACGGCGCGUUCGAGAGUUUCAAGUGAUGUUCGAGUCGUGUGGUGUCGCCUGUGCUAAGCGCCUCGAAAGCAUUAGUAUUUACAAGAAAGAAAAGUUCAGACUCUUAUCAAGGUAACAGCUGACAGUCUAAACUGGGUAUCUGCUCCACAAAUCACUUCUUCACAGAGAGAGAGAGAGAGAGAGAGAGAGUAAAUGUGAGAGACUUUUGCAAAAUUUGUUGGAACCUAUAAUUGAUCAUAUGAAGAACUAUUAAAAAAAAGCAGGCAUGGCAGUUUAACUGUUACUCCCAUUGGACUAGACACCAAUCUAAUCCCCCCCUCCGUCCAGCUAUCUAUCAAUUACAACAGCCCUUUCACCAGCAACUCAUCCCAACAGUCCCCCCAGUCAAAAUGCCAAAUAAAUUCCACUCUCAGAAAAUCAUCAUCCCUCCACUUUCAAUGCGAAACAGAUCCCAGGUGGAUAGGGUAGGGCAUCCCCCAAUGACUCCAGGGCUCUCUACUUGUGAUUGAACCAGGGACCCAUCGCACCGUUGACGUGCCUGUUGCUGUGGUGCAUCCCUUCGCCAUUGGGCAUGAUGGAAGGGGGAAGCCCCACUGCCACUUGAG